CGUUUUAUGCAGUUUUGCCGACGCGUGCAUGUUUGCUAAUCACUGUUGUGUUUUUUCUGGGUUUCAGGUGACUCCGACGUGAGUGACGGCUCCGCCCCGCCCCCUUGGCUGUAACUGCUGACGGCUGAGACCCUCACUGCCCGAUCGCCCUUCAACCCACACACACACCCACACACGCACCCACACACGAACCCCCGCUCACCGAUUGACUUAAAUAAAUCUCCCAUAACACCGAAACAGCCUCCUGUGUGUCUGUGCUCCGCCCAACGCUGGCUAAAAUUGCUACAAGAGGCAGACAUAUCCAAAACGUGAGACAUAGGUGUGGUCAAACAGGCAAAUGGUCACGCGAUUGGCAAAUGGGCAUAACGAGGCAAAACAGAAUCGAAAUACUUCACCUCGAACAAUGAGACACGAGGGGUUUAAAUGACAAACCUAAUCAAGGGAGAACACAAAACAGCUGGUACUAAUGAUAACACAUAAGGGACAACCAAUGGCAAUACAGGGGUGGAGACAGGACAGAAAUCAUAACAAAUGCAUGUGUCAAAAGUAAACAAAUUCAAUGUCACUAAAACCCAGAAGCGCACGCUCACGCUUCGAGCUUUGAGCGCUAUGUCCUCAGUGUAACCGGCUGGCAGAACCUGGUUGGCCAUGACAUCGACCUCAGACAGGAACAGGGUUUGGGAGUCCAUCUCUUCGACCUCAAACUGGAACUGGGCAUAUGAGGUCACCUUGUUGUAUUCUAGCAGGAACUUGACUUGAGAGGCCAUCUCAUCGACCUCAAACAGGAACAAGGUUUGGGUGCCCGUCUCUUCAACCACAGACUGGAACUGGGCGUAGGAGGUCACCUCAUUGUCCUCUAGCAGGAACUGGGCUAAUCCAAAAUGUGAGACAUAGGCAUGGUCAAACAGGCAAAUGGUCAGGCAUAAACAAGGCAAAACAGAAUCGAUAAACAAGGACGAGAACAGGAUCAAAACUAUGGCACAGAAACAAGGAACAAAGGUUCGAUGGAUCUUCCGGGAACUGUAAGGGUUUUUACUCUAGUGUUCGCUGUUUGUGAACCAACAACCCAUGCUCUGUCCCUCGGGUGAAAGCUGUAUCGCCUUUGUAUGCUCGCUGCUAACCGGGAAAGCCUUGGAUUGGGCGACAGUGGUAUGGAACAAUGAUUGCCCAACCUUCCUGUCAUUCGUGACUUUCUUCAACGAUUUCGGGAGGUGUCUGAGC
Long non-coding RNA from Ictalurus punctatus (channel catfish), 1221 nucleotides. NCBI's taxonomy places the organism in Eukaryota, Metazoa, Chordata, Actinopteri, Siluriformes, Ictaluridae. The record is from Ensembl.